GAUGAACGCUGGCGGCGUGCCUAACACAUGCAAGUCGAACGAAGCACCUUACCGGAUUCUUCGGAUGAAAGUUUGGUGACUGAGUGGCGGACGGGUGAGUAACGCGUGGGUAACCUGCCCUGUACAGGGGGAUAACAGCUGGAAACGGCUGCUAAUACCGCAUAAGCGCACGAGGAGACAUCUCCUUGUGUGAAAAACUCCGGUGGUACAGGAUGGGCCCGCGUCUGAUUAGCUGGUUGGCAGGGUAACGGCCUACCAAGGCAACGAUCAGUAGCCGGUCUGAGAGGAUGAACGGCCACAUUGGAACUGAGACACGGUCCAAACUCCUACGGGAGGCAGCAGUGGGGAAUAUUGCACAAUGGGGGAAACCCUGAUGCAGCAACGCCGCGUGAGUGAAGAAGUAUUUCGGUAUGUAAAGCUCUAUCAGCAGGGAAGAUAAUGACGGUACCUGACUAAGAAGCUCCGGCUAAAUACGUGCCAGCAGCCGCGGUAAUACGUAUGGAGCAAGCGUUAUCCGGAUUUACUGGGUGUAAAGGGUGCGUAGGUGGCAGUGCAAGUCAGAUGUGAAAGGCCGGGGCUCAACCCCGGAGCUGCAUUUGAAACUGCUCGGUUAGAGUACAGGAGAGGCAGGCGGAAUUCCUAGUGUAGCGGUGAAAUGCGUAGAUAUUAGGAGGAACACCAGUGGCGAAGGCGGCCUGCUGGACUGUUACUGACACUGAGGCACGAAAGCGUGGGGAGCAAACAAAAUUAGAUACCCUGGUAGUCCACGCCGUA
This 774-nucleotide ribosomal RNA is filed under the name uncultured bacterium. RNAcentral's name for it is "bacterial SSU rRNA". It matches the Rfam family "Bacterial small subunit ribosomal RNA", at positions 28 to 804 of the family's 1533-position model. The record is from RNAcentral.